Molecule: ribosomal RNA, 407 nt
Filed under: uncultured bacterium
Lineage: Bacteria
Description: bacterial SSU rRNA
Rfam family: Bacterial small subunit ribosomal RNA
Source: RNAcentral
UGAGGAAGUAAUUGCACAAAUGGAGGGAAACUACUGAUGCAGCAACGCCGCGUGGAGGAUGACGCAUUUCGGUGUGUAAACUCCUUUUAUGAGUCAAGAAAAUGACGGUAGCUCAUGAAUAAGCACCGGCUAACUCCGUGCCAGCAGCCGCGGUAAUACGGAGGGUGCAAGCGUUAUUCGGAAUCACUGGGCGUAAAGGACGCGUAGGCGGGAAGCCAAGUCUGAUGUGAAAUCCUAUGGCUUAACCAUAGAACUGCAUUGGAAACUGGUUACCUAGAGUAUGGGAGGGGGAGAUGGAAUUAGUGGUGUAGGGGUAAAAUCCGUAGAUAUCACUAGGAAUACCGAAAGCGAAGGCGAUCUCCUGGAACAAUACUGACGCUAAGGCGUGAAAGCGUGGGGAGCAAACG